AGUGAACGCUGGCGGUAGGCCUAACACAUGCAAGUCGAACGGCAGCACAGUAAGAGCUUGCUCUUACGGGUGGCGAGUGGCGGACGGGUGAGGAAUACAUCGGAAUCUACUUUUUCGUGGGGGAUAACGUAGGGAAACUUACGCUAAUACCGCAUACGACCUACGGGUGAAAGCAUGGGAUCUUCGGACCUUGCGCGAUUGAAUGAGCCGAUGUCGGAUUAGCUAGUUGGCGGGGUAAAGGCCCACCAAGGCGACGAUCCGUAGCUGGUCUGAGAGGAUGAUCAGCCACACUGGAACUGAGACACGGUCCAGACUCCUACGGGAGGCAGCAGUGGGGAAUAUUGGACAAGGGGCGCAAGCCUGAUCCAGCCAUACCGCGUGGGUGAAGAAGGCCUUCGGGUUGUAAAGCCCUUUUGUUGGGAAAGAAAAGCAGCAGGUUAAUACCCCGCUGUUCUGACGGUACCCAAAGAAUAAGCACCGGCUAACUUCGUG
This 492-nucleotide ribosomal RNA is filed under the name uncultured bacterium. RNAcentral describes it as "partial 16S ribosomal RNA". It matches the Rfam family "Bacterial small subunit ribosomal RNA", at positions 29 to 507 of the family's 1533-position model. The record is from RNAcentral.